Molecule: ribosomal RNA, 512 nt
Filed under: uncultured Desulfobulbus sp.
Lineage: Bacteria; Pseudomonadati; Thermodesulfobacteriota; Desulfobulbia; Desulfobulbales; Desulfobulbaceae
Description: bacterial SSU rRNA
Rfam family: Bacterial small subunit ribosomal RNA
Source: RNAcentral
CGCCUUGCCAGCCCGCUCAGAAACUUAAAGGAAUUGACGGGGGCCCGCACAAGCGGUGGAGUAUGUGGUUUAAUUCGAUGCAACGCGAAGAACCUUACCUGGUCUUGACAUCCCGGAGACCCUUAGGAAACUAGGGGGUGCUUCCAUCUGGAAGAAUCUGGAGACAGGUGCUGCAUGGCUGUCGUCAGCUCGUGUCGUGAGAUGUUGGGUUAAGUCCCGCAACGAGCGCAACCCUUGCCUUUAGUUGCCAGCAGUUCGGCUGGGCACUCUAAAGGGACUGCCGGUGUUAAACCGGAGGAAGGUGGGGAUGACGUCAAGUCCUCAUGGCCUUUAUGACCAGGGCUACACACGUACUACAAUGGCCGAUACAAAGGGCAGCGACACUGCGAGGUGAAGCCAAUACCCGUAAAAUCGGUCUCAGUCCGGAUUGGAGUCUGCAACUCGACUCCAUGAAGUUGGAAUCGCUAGUAAUCGUGGAUCAGCAUGCCACGGUGAAUACGUUCCCGGGCCUU